This 78-nucleotide transfer RNA is filed under the name Candidatus Bathyarchaeota archaeon. Its description in RNAcentral is "tRNA-Ile". It matches the Rfam family "tRNA". Rfam says of the family: Transfer RNA (tRNA) molecules are approximately 80 nucleotides in length. Their secondary structure includes four short double-helical elements and three loops (D, anti-codon, and T loops). RNAcentral also lists the same sequence under 3 other names. Lineage: Archaea; Thermoproteati; Candidatus Bathyarchaeota. The record is from RNAcentral.
GGGCCGAUAGCUCAGCUUGGCUGGAGCGUUCGGCUGAUAACCGAAAGGUCGCCGGUUCAAAUCCGGCUCGGCCCACCA